GCCGGAGUGGCGAAACGGCAGACGCAGGGGACUUAAAAUCCCCGGCCCGAAAGGGCGUGAGGGUUCGAAUCCCUCCUCCGGCA
RNAcentral lists this transfer RNA (83 nucleotides) under Terriglobia bacterium. Its description in RNAcentral is "tRNA-Leu". It matches the Rfam family "tRNA". From Rfam's summary of the family: Transfer RNA (tRNA) molecules are approximately 80 nucleotides in length. Their secondary structure includes four short double-helical elements and three loops (D, anti-codon, and T loops). Further hydrogen bonds mediate the characteristic L-shaped molecular structure. tRNAs have two regions of fundamental functional importance: the anti-codon, which is responsible for specific mRNA codon recognition, and the 3' end, to which the tRNAs corresponding amino acid is attached (by aminoacyl-tRNA synthetases). tRNAs cope with the degeneracy of the genetic code in two manners: having more than one tRNA (with a specific anti-codon) for a particular amino acid; and 'wobble' base-pairing, i.e. permitting non-standard base-pairing at the 3rd anti-codon position. Lineage: Bacteria; Pseudomonadati; Acidobacteriota; Terriglobia. The record is from RNAcentral.